AAGGAUCGCAGCAGGCGCGCAAAUUACCCAAUUCUAACAGUUUGAGAGAGGUAGUAACAAGAAAUAACAAUACAAGGCAGUUCAAAUGCUUUGUAAUCGGAAUGAUAGAAAUUUAAACCCUUUUUAAAGUAUCAAUUGGAGGGCAAGUCUGGUGCCAGCAGCCGCGGUAAUUCCAGCUCCAAUAGCGUAUAUUAAAAUUGUUGCAGUUAAAAAGCUCGUAGUUGAAGUUCUGCUAAAAGUAACCGGUCUGCUUUGAAUAAAAGUGGUAUCUUGGUAUGUAUUUAGCAAUGAUGUCCUUUGAAGUGUUUUUUACUUUAUUGUAAUAAAGCAUAUUCAGGACUUUUACUUUGAGAAAAUUAGAGUGUUUCUAGCAGGCCAACGCUUUGAAUACUGCAGCAUGGAAUAAUAAGAUAGGAUUUUAGUUCUACAUUAUUGGUUUUAAGAGCUAAAUUAAUGAUUGAUAGGGACAGUUGGGGGCAUUUGUAUUUAACUGUCAGAGGUGAAAUUCUUAGAUUUGUUAAAGACAAACUACUGCGAAAGCAUUUGCCAAAGAUGUUUUCAUUAAUCAAGAACGAAAGUUAGGGGAUCGAAGACGAUCAGAUACCGUCGUAGUCUUAACUAUAAACUAUGCCGACUAGAGAUUGGAGGUCGUCUUUAUAAACGACUCCUUCAGCACCUUACGAGAAACCAAAGUCUUUGGGUUC
This 704-nucleotide ribosomal RNA is filed under the name Hepatozoon canis. RNAcentral's name for it is "bacterial SSU rRNA". It matches the Rfam family "Eukaryotic small subunit ribosomal RNA", at positions 418 to 1114 of the family's 1831-position model. Lineage: Eukaryota; Apicomplexa; Hepatozoidae. The record is from RNAcentral.